UUUUGCCUAUGAUGACUUGCAUGUUGCCUACAUUGUCCGACUAAUAUCUCUAUGAUGAUAGUUGCAAGAUCUGAGGCUUGU
RNAcentral lists this small nucleolar RNA (81 nucleotides) under Setaria italica (foxtail millet). RNAcentral's name for it is "Small nucleolar RNA SNORD34". It matches the Rfam family "Small nucleolar RNA SNORD34". Rfam says of the family: snoRNA U34 is found in intron 5 of the ribosomal protein L13a gene in humans. U34 is a member of the C/D class of snoRNA which contain C (UGAUGA) and D (CUGA) box motifs, and functions in directing site-specific 2'-O-methylation of 25S rRNAs. Although the selection of the target nucleotide requires the antisense element and the conserved box D or D' of the snoRNA, the methyltransferase activity is thought to reside in one of the protein components. RNAcentral also lists the same sequence under 1 other name. Lineage: Eukaryota; Viridiplantae; Streptophyta; Magnoliopsida; Poales; Poaceae. The record is from Rfam by way of RNAcentral.